GGGCGGAAGCCUGAUGCAGCAACGCCGCGUGCGGGAUGACGGCCUUCGGGUUGUAAACCGCUUUCACCCAUGACGAAGCGCGAGUGACGGUAGUGGGGGAAGAAGCACCGGCCAACUACGUGCCAGCAGCCGCGGUGAUACGUAGGGUGCGAGCGUUGUCCGGAAUUAUUGGGCGUAAAGAGCUUGUAGGCGGUUGAUCGCGUCGAUAGUGAAAUCCCGGGGCUCAACCUCGGGCUUGCUGUCGAUACGGGUUGACUUGAGGAAGGUAGGGGAGAAUGGAACUCCCGGUGGAGCGGUGGAAUGCGCAGAUAUCGGGAAGAACACCGGUGGCGAAGGCGGUUCUCUGGACCUUUCCUGACGCUGAGAAGCGAAAGCGUGGGGAGCAAACAGGCUUAGAUACCCUGGUAGUCCACGCUGUAAACGGUGGGUACUAGGUGUGGGUCGCAUUCCACGUGAUCCGUGCCGUAGCCAACGCAUUAAGUACCCCGCCUGGGGAGUACGGCCGCAAGGCUAAAACUCAAAGGAAUUGACGGGGCCCCGCACAAGCGGCGGAGCAUGCGGAUUAAUUCGAUGCAACGCGAAGAACCUUACCUGGGUUUGACAUGUACUGGAAGCGCUCAGAGAUGGGCGUGCCUUUUCGGCCGGUUCACAGGUGGUGCAUGGCUGUCGUCAGCUCGUGUCGUGAGAUGUUGGGUUAAGUC
RNAcentral lists this ribosomal RNA (701 nucleotides) under Propionibacterium acidifaciens. Its description in RNAcentral is "bacterial SSU rRNA". It matches the Rfam family "Bacterial small subunit ribosomal RNA", at positions 373 to 1086 of the family's 1533-position model. The record is from RNAcentral. Lineage: Bacteria; Bacillati; Actinomycetota; Actinomycetes; Propionibacteriales; Propionibacteriaceae.